This is a long non-coding RNA of Ruditapes philippinarum (Manila clam), 5839 nucleotides long. RefSeq lists it as uncharacterized. The record is from RefSeq and is a predicted model, not a curated record. The transcript has 4 exons. Lineage: Eukaryota; Metazoa; Mollusca; Bivalvia; Venerida; Veneridae.
GACAAUGAUUCAGAAACAAAUGCUGAAGUUUUGGAAAUUCUAUUGUUUACUCUGCAAAUGAUUAUAGAUGGUAUAUGAGGUCAGGCAUUGUUUUCUUGACCCCCCAAAUUUCAACGUCAACAUUCUUGAAAUAGCCAUUAAAAUUAUAUUACCAUUUACGGUGGUUGAAAUAAAUUUAUUUAUUUAUUUUUAGAAGAAACAUGCAUUUAUUGUUGAUAAAAAAAGUGACAACCACUGAACAAAGAAAAUACUAAAUUAAGCAUUUUCAGGGCCGUCCGGGUUUGGUGGUUGUCCGGUUUUGGUGGUCCCCAACCAGUAGCUUAAACAUUUAUGAACUGUAAAUUCUUCCCUCACACACUUUCAUCAAUAACAAUUUCAAUUAGAAAAGGUAUAUAAAUUAUGACAUGAAAACGUAAAACAAUGAAAGGUAUGAACACAUGAAACAAAGAUAAUUCAACAUAGAGCAACAAAACUAGUUCCACUGAGGAAUACCGUACCGCCGGUAAGGCCCCCACGGUUACACUUUUAAACGGAUUCGUUUCGAUUUUCAUUCAUAAACGGUUAUGAUAUUUUUUACCGUUUAUUCGAGAUGACCAUAUUGUCUUACAAAUUAUCUCUAUAAUAAUUUCCUGUAAUCAUGGAUUUUAUCUAUACUUAUUGGUUUAUCAAAGUAAAAAAUGGAAAAUGGGUGUUUACAACCCGGACCACACACCAUCACCGUGCAAUAAUCGCUUGUGACAUAAUUCAUUUUUGUUAAAGUUGAUUUUUCUUUGAUCUUUUAAAUAACGAAAUGCGGAUACAAUGCAGAAAAUGUGUGCCGCCUAAAUCGUGAUGAGCACUGAACAUUAUUUACUUGUAUAGAAAGUAAGUCAUCAUUUGGCGACUCGAAUACAUGGCAUAGUAUAGUGCAUAGAAGUACCACCGUUUAAACAGUAUCGAUUCGGUUCUUAGCAAUCAUGUAAAGGUUUACACAAAAUUGUAAACGUGGGAGCCUUUACCGCCGGAUAUUGCUCGAUAUUACGAGGACUUUCAUCCCAUUUCAAGACUAUUAACAAAGUUAAAUUCAAGGUAAACGUUCAAUCUGACAACAAUAAAAUUUCAGAUGACAGUGCAUUUUGAGAAUAAAUAAACAUGUCAGUUUACCGAGUAUUGCUUUGGAGUUGCUCGCCGGUGUCACUAGUAUGCUUUUUAAUGUAACGAGUAUUGGUUAUUAAUAUCAAGUAAAUGUGAGAAGGUAUCACAGAGUUUUUACCACAAUUAACCUUAAAUAUUUCUUAUUGUCACAAUGUGUAUACUUAUUGACAUAUGUGCAGAAUAUGCAGAUUUUGGAGGUACUGUACUGAAUAAUACAUACCCAGCAAACAUGCAUAUAUGGGACCCAUAUGGGCUAUAUCUAGGCAAGCUAAUGGGUAUGCCCAUAUUGGACCUAUAUGGAUCCAAUAUUGGCAAGUCCAUUUUGGGUACGCCUAUAUAUUAGACCCAUAUGGGUACAAUAUUCCAGCACUUUAAGGAAAAACGAUUUUUCUUUUAUUUAUUUCUUUAGAACUCGUUUACUUUGAGCUAUAGUGUGACCACCUUGGCAUAAAUUAUUAUCUUAUAUAAAAUCGUAGCAUUAUUUUAAACAUUUAUACAAGCCAUGAGGGACCCAUAUGGGUCCCAUUUGGGCAACCCGAUAGAUAUUAGCAUGCCUGAGCAGGUGCGAGAAAUUAAUUUGUUAAGUUUUUAUAUUGGUUUUAAUUUUUAUUAUUUAAAUAUAAAAAUGUGUUUUUAGACUAUAAAUUCAGAAAUAAUUUAUAAAAAUCAGUUUUUGAUGAAAAAAUUUAUUUCGAGCAUGUGCAGACUUGAUUUCCGCUGCCGCUUAAAAUCAAAUUGUGUAUUGAAAUGUUAAAUUGUAAAAUUGUACACAAAAAAAAAUAUUUCUUUUCCAUUCCGAGCAUUUAACCACGAUUUCGUAUAACGACUUUUCAUAUUAUAUCCUUACAUGUUUAUUAUGUGUGUAGGUAAGCUGUAAACGCUGUUUAGUUUUUGGUUUUGCCUUUGUCAUGUAAUUUCCCAAUAGUCGUUUAAUUUGCGACAUUUUCUAGAAUUUACGCCCUGACUCUUAGGCACUUUAGCUGACCUAUGCAUGUGUAUAGUUGUUAUUGUUGAAUUACUUAACUGUGACGGAGUCGACACUAACAUUUUAAAAAUAUUGUUUCUAACUAGACUAAAUUUUAAGAGAUCUCUUUUUAAAGGGACACCAUCAUUUGAAAUCCAGUGUCCCCCCUAGCCUUAGAAGUCCCUUCCAUUUUGUACCAACAUUUCAUUCAUAAGCAUUUUAAAAUAUUAAAUACAAAAUUAAUACUUAUUUUUACAAAUUCAAGUAUUUUUUCCAAGUACCAACCAAGCCCUCUAGCUGUUGCACAGGCAUGAGUAUCGGACCUAAGAAGAAAAAAUAUGACCUGAUAGAUAAUUAAACCUGUGUUCAUCUUAAAAAAUUCGAAAACCAAAAAAAAUGUAAAUUAUGACCCCCUUUAAAACAUACUAUAAGUUAAGAGAAGGCUGGAAACUCUAGAUUCGAGCCUACGAGCAAGGGAUUCGCUACCCAGGCCGUUGUGAAAACAAUUGUCCAGACAAUUAAAAAAUCUUUUAUCAUUAUUUCACAUUUGUAUUAAGCUUCCAAAUGAGACCAACUCCAAGUCUCUAGCCCUUCCUGUUCAUGAAAUAAUCCCAUCAGGAAACGAGCGCAUUCGUGCUAAAAAUCCUUGGUAGAAAAAAUUGCGGCACAACAAUUCGGUACGUAAACAUAGACUAAUACAUGUUUGUCAGCCGUGUACAGGUCAUAAUCAUAUUGUCACUUGGUGCAAUAACUCACUUAAUGACUAUGUAUAUGUAUUUUUUAACUACUUAUUAAUGUAUUUUCAUUUUAUUGUCAAUAGGCCAUCAAAAAGGCUGUAUGAAUCGGAUAGUGACACUGAUGAAUAUGAGACAGACACCGAGAGUAGGCCAUCACAAGUUAUUGACAAAGCAACAACGGGCUGCUUUCACCGCCGCGUUGCUUAUCUGCACAGGCAUUGCGAGAGGCCAGCAGUGAUGUGCAAAGUGCUUCUCUUAUACAAGGUGCUUCUGAUACGCCCUCCCAUGGGCAGAUUAUUGGGCCCACUGCUGUUACACAGAUUCUCUGAGUCUUGGAGACAAUGCGGGAGGAGAAUCGUGAAAUUAAGAGUAUGAUGUAGCAAUUGUUGUCAAGGUCAGCAGCAGAUGACCAACCGCUGCAGCUUCCUGAAGAUAUCUCAUUCCCUAUUCGUUCUCCUUAGCAGAUGGAAACAUUCGAUGAGCUUCUGGGAGAUCAGACAAAGCUGUCAUCUGUGGUGCGGUUCCUCUCAAUGUUUGGUGGGGCAGUUGUGCGGGAAACUGUUGACCGCUAGAUGAUAGAAACCAUGUCAAAUGAACUGGUAAGAAUGUUCAAUAUGAAGGGGGCUGAAAGGGAAGAAAACAUUUUGGGGCCUCUAGAUACUGAAUGUAUUGUAUAAAUGUGUCCAAAGGAACUUGCCGGCAAAGACUGCGACGAGGAAUGAUAUUGAAAUAAAGGUUUCAAAGUGGCUGGCUGGGGUGUGGGACCGCAAUGGGGGAAGGAAAGCAAGAAACAAAGUGUCCGAGACCUUACCUGAAGCAAAUGAAGGAAGUGACUAGACAUGUUUUUAUUUUUAAAAAAUACAAAUCUAUAGAGGAUAUUUGUUUGUUAGUGUGUAAGAUGAAAUUUUAUAUCAUCAAGUGAUCUGUAAAAACAUUAUUCUCACGAGUGAGAACACUGUUAUUUAAAAGUCCCUCAAUGAUAUAAAAUUACAUCUUACACAACAAACAAUAAAGUGUAUUUUUAGCUCACCUGUCACAAAGUGACAGGGUGAGCUUUUGUGAUCACUUUUCGUCCGGCGUCCGUCCGUCGUCCGUAAACUUUUACUUUAAAUGACAUCUCCUCAUAAACCACUAGGCCAAUUUCAUCCAAACUUCACAGGAAUGUUCCUUUGGUGGUCACCUUUAAAAAUUGUUCAAAGAAUUUAAUUCCAUGCAGAACUCUGGUUGCCAUGGCAACCGAAAGAAAAAAAUUUAAAUAUCUUCUUUUAAAAAACCCUAAGAGCUAGAGCUUAGAUAUUUGGCAUGGAACAUCUUCUAGUGAGUGUCUACCAAGUUUGUUCAAAUAAAAUCCCUGGGGUCAAAAUUGGCCCCGCCCCAGGGGGUCAUUGAUUUUCCCUAUAUGCAUAUAGUAAAAACUUACAAAAUCUUCUUUGAAAGAACUCAAAGAGCUAGAGCUAAGAUAUUCAGCAUGAAACAUGUUCUAAUGAGUGUCUACCAAGUUUGUUUAAAUAAAAGCCCUGGGGUCAAAAUUGGCCCCGCCCCAGGGGUUCAUUUAUUUUCCUUAUAUGCAUAUAGUAAAAACUUUAAAAAUCUUCUUUUAAAGAACUCAAAGAGCUAGAGCUAAGAUGUUUAGCAUCAAACAUGUUCUAAUAGUUGUCUACCAAGUUUGUUCAAAUAAAGGCCUGGGGUCAAAAUUGGCCCUGCCCCGGGGGUCAUUGAUUUUCCUUAUAUGUGUAUAGCAAAAACUUAAAAAAAUCUUCUUUGAAAAAACCCAAAUAGCUAGAGUUUAGAUAUUAAGCAUGAAACAUCUUCUAGUGAGUGUCUACAAAGUUUGUUCAAAUAAAAGCCUUGGGGUCAAAAUUGACCCCGCCCCGGGGGUCAUUGAUUUUCCUUAUAUGUGUAUAGCAAAAACUUAAACUCUUCUUUGAAAAAGCCCAAAUAGCUAGAGUUUAGAUAUUAAGCAUGAAACAUCUUCUAGUAAGUGUCUACAAAGUUGGUUCAAAUAAAAGCCCUGGGGUCAAAACUGGCCCGCCCCAGGGGUGUCAUUGUUUUUAACUAUAUGUGUAAUGCAAAAACUUAAAAAAAUCUUCUUUUAAAAAGCCCAAUGAGCUAGAGCUUAGAUGUUUAGCAUGAAACAUCUUCUUAUGGGUGUCUACCAAGUUUGUUCAAAUAAAAGCCCUUGGGUCAAAAUUAGCCCCGCCCCAGGGGGUCAUUGAUUUUCCCUAUAUGCAUAUAGUAAAAACUUAAAAAAUCUUCUUUUAAAGAACUCAAAGAGCUAGAGCUAAGAUAUUUAGCAUCAAUCAUGUUCUAAUAGGUGUCUACCAAAUUUGUUCAAAUAAAAGCCCUGGGGUCAAAAUUGGCCCUGCCCCGGGGGUCAUUGAUUUUCCUUAUAUGUGUAUAGCAAAAACUUAAAAUCUUCUUUGAAAAAACCCAAAUAGCUAGAGUGUAGAUAUUAAGCAUGAAACAUCUUCUAGUGAGUGUCUACAAAGUUUGUUCAAAUAAAAGCCCUGGGGUCAAAAUUGGCCCCGUCCCGGGGGUCAUUGAUUUUCCUUAUAUGUGUAUACAUGUAGCAAAAACUUAAAAUCUUCUUUGAAAAAACCCAAAUAGCUAGUGUUUAGAUCUUUAAGCAUGAAACAUCUUCUAGUAAGUGUCUACAAAGUUUGUUCAAAUAAAAGCCCUGGGGUCAAAACUGGCCCCGCCCCAGGGGUGUCAUUGUUUUUAACUUUAUGUGUAUAGUAAAAACUUUAAAAAAAAUUUUUUUUAAAAAGCCCAAUGAGCUAGAGCUAAGAUGUUUAGCAUGAAACAUCUUCUUAUGGGGGGGGGGGGGGGGCUAUAUACAGGUGAGCGACCUCAGGGCCAUCAUGGCCCUGUUGUUAUUUUAUGCUAAUGAAAUUUCCUCAAUAUUAACUUAAAUAAUUAUUAAAUCUGUUUUCCCCACUGUUAACAUCAAUUUUAGUUGAAUUUAAGUCCAAUUAUUCAUAAAUACAGGAGUCUUGGGCUGAAC